This 288-nucleotide long non-coding RNA is filed under the name Elaeis guineensis (African oil palm). RNAcentral's name for it is "long non-coding RNA (EGUI_LNC031327)". Lineage: Eukaryota; Viridiplantae; Streptophyta; Magnoliopsida; Arecales; Arecaceae. The record is from RNAcentral.
CUUAGAUUCAAUUUAUAGUGGAUCCUAUCCCUACCUACCAACUUUCUCCAGAUAUGGUACACCUAAUUUUGACUAGCACAGAGAGAUUCCUUAACAUACCAUUCCAUACGAGACAAGGAGCCAUGCAUCAUAACAUCAUCAUCAUUCUUCUGGCCCAAAGCAAACCAAAUCUUUGUAUUUAAUGUAACACAUUAUAAACUAGUUAUAGUAUUUAUCCAAAUGGCUAUCUUAAAGGAAAAAAUAUGGAGCAAACCAAUUUGAAACAAAAAUAAAGUAACAAUAGUAAAC